GAUGAACGCUGGCGGCGUGCCUAAUACAUGCAAGUCGAGCGAAUGGAUUAAGAGCUUGCUCUUAUGAAGUUAGCGGCGGACGGGUGAGUAACACGUGGGUAACCUGCCCAUAAGACUGGGAUAACUCCGGGAAACCCGGGCUAAUACCGGAUAACAUUUUGAACCGCAUGGUUCGAAAUGGAAAGGCGGCUUCGGAUGUCACUUAUGGAUGGAACCGCGUCGCAUUAGCUAGUUGGUGAGGUAACGGCUAAGCAAGGCAACGAUGCGUAGCCGACCUGAGACGGUGAUCGGCCACACUGGGACUGAGACACGGCCCAGACUCCUACGGGAGGCAGCAGUAGGGAAUCUUCCGCAAUGGACGAAAGUCUGACGGAGCAACGCCGCGUGAGUGAUGAAGGCUUUCGGGUCGUAAAACUCUGUUGUUAGGGAAGAACAAGUGCUAGUUGAAUAAGCUGGCACCUUGACGGUACCUAACCAGAAAGCCACGGCUAACUACGUGCCAGCCGCCGCUGUAA
Molecule: ribosomal RNA, 515 nt
Filed under: uncultured bacterium
Lineage: Bacteria
Description: partial 16S ribosomal RNA
Rfam family: Bacterial small subunit ribosomal RNA
Source: RNAcentral